RNAcentral lists this unclassified non-coding RNA (1206 nucleotides) under Ceratitis capitata (Mediterranean fruit fly). Its description in RNAcentral is "uncharacterized LOC110118716, transcript variant X1". The record is from RNAcentral. Lineage: Eukaryota; Metazoa; Arthropoda; Insecta; Diptera; Tephritidae.
GUGAACACAAGCUCCACCACACCAGUAUCUCAAAUAAAAUAAUAUGGCCAAGUUUUUAGUUUUAUUAAUUUUUACUUUCUGUCUGGCGUUGCAGCUUGUCAAAGCAUUUCCGCAAAAUGUCGCAGAGCCGGAGCAGUCUACAGAUCUCGAGGUGAACAAGGAUUUCGGAACGGAGUUGGCUAAAAGCACAACAACAACAGUACCGGCCACAACUGAUGCUGUCACAGAUGAAAGCACUGAUUCUAAACAAGAAAGCGAUUCCGAUUCUACUGAAGAUUUUUCAUAUCCUCCAUUAAAGUAUUACAUAAUAAAAAAUCGCCUAACGCUCUUCACACUUAAAGUUGUACAAAAUCACCUAAAUACUAUUCUAACUGUAGGUCACGAAUAUACCACCGCCUCAUUGAAGGCCCUGAAUGAAAUGCCUAAUAAGACGUCGGAUAUAAAAGCGAACAUAACGCAUCUGAAUGAUUUAUUGGCACGCUUGGAGGGGCUAGAUUUGGCGAAAAAUAAUUUUGAUGGGUUUCUUGACAAAAUUGGUCUCAUAAAUGGCUUAAAAUAAUUAUAUCAAAAUUUUACAGAACUCAGGCGUUUUGAUGAUGAUGUGCUGAGCGAAUUAUAUAUGACACUCGGUUUAAGAAUCGAAGCUUCAUUGAAGGAGACCAUUGAGAAAUUAAACGUAAUUUUUCACAAUUUCUUCGGUGCAUUGGAUGAGGAAGAGAAGCAGAGAUUUUCAGAACAAGUUGAAGCUUAUGAUAAAUAUAUAUCGCGUGAUACGGAUUUAGCUAAAUUCAGUGAUGCGGUGUUCUUGCUGUUAAACAAUCCCAUUUGAUGCCUAUUUUUCUAUUUGAAAAGAGUUCAGAAAGGUCUGCGAAAAUAUUAUUCUUCGCCAUAAUCAAGAAAAAGCUCUGAAUUAUUACUAUUUUUUGGAGAUUUGAAAGAAAUAAUUUGGUUUUAAUAUCUUGACUGCUCCUGAUGUGUUUCAAAGAGAUCAGUCAGCAGAGACGAAAUAAAAAAUAUUAUUGUAUUCUUACCUUUCACGAUAAUUUACCUCUUCGUCAGAACAUUUUAGUGCUUUAGUUUUUUUUAAUGUGUAAUUUAUUUACCGGCACUAAUAAUUGUUCGAGCUUGCCUCUUUUCCAUGGUUUAGCAAUACAAAUUAUAUAAAAAUACUUGGAGACACGUAACAAACAAAUGAAAUCUAUUUAA